UACCAGUCGUGCAUCUUCCGAUCACGAUCCAGUGAGGGAAUUAAGGACGGCACGUUGUCCUUGUAACGGGGAUCCAGCAGGGUGGCCACCCAGUAAUCAGCACAAGUUAGAAUGUGGGCAACUCGGCAGUCGUUGCGCAGGCACUUUGGUGACUCUAGAUAACCUCAGGCCGAUCACACAUCCCCGUGAUGGUGACGAAGCAUUCGGAUGUCAGCCCUAUCAACUUUCAAUGGUACUUUCUGCGCCUACCAUGGUGACCACGGGUAACGGGGAAUAAGGGUUCAUUUCCG
RNAcentral lists this ribosomal RNA (290 nucleotides) under Pelobates cultripes (western spadefoot toad). RNAcentral's name for it is "SSU_rRNA_eukarya". It matches the Rfam family "Eukaryotic small subunit ribosomal RNA", at positions 168 to 385 of the family's 1831-position model. Lineage: Eukaryota; Metazoa; Chordata; Amphibia; Anura; Pelobatidae. The record is from RNAcentral.